RNAcentral lists this ribosomal RNA (253 nucleotides) under uncultured bacterium. Its description in RNAcentral is "partial 16S ribosomal RNA". It matches the Rfam family "Bacterial small subunit ribosomal RNA", at positions 524 to 776 of the family's 1533-position model. The record is from RNAcentral.
GACAGAGGGUGCAAGCGUUGUUCGGAAUCAUUGGGCGUAAAGCGCACGUAGGCGGCUGCGUAAGUCAGAUGUGAAAGCCCUGGGCUCAACCCAGGAAGUGCAUCUGAUACUGCGCAGCUUGAGUCUCGGAGAGGGUGGUGGAAUUCCUGGUGUAGAGGUGAAAUUCGUAGAUAUCAGGAGGAACACCGGUGGCGAAGGCGACCACCUGGACGAAGACUGACGCUGAGGUGCGAAAGCGUGGGGAGCAAACAGG